Molecule: ribosomal RNA, 380 nt
Filed under: uncultured bacterium
Lineage: Bacteria
Description: bacterial SSU rRNA
Rfam family: Bacterial small subunit ribosomal RNA
Source: RNAcentral
GACGAACGCUGGCGGCGUGCUUAACACAUGCAAGUCGAGCGGUAAGGCCCGUUUCGGGGGUACACGAGCGGCGAACGGGUGAGUAACACGUGGGUGACCUGCCCUCAGCUCGUGGGAUAAGCCCGGGAAACUGGGUCUAAUACUGGAUAUGACUCCACGGUGCAUGCCGUGGGGUGGAAAGCCUUGUGCGGCUGAGGAUGGGCCCGCGGCCUAUCAGCUUGUUGGUGGGGUGANGGCCUACCAAGGCGACGACGGGUAGCCGGCCUGAGAGGGCGACCGGCCACACUGGGACUGAGACACGGCCCAGACUCCUACGGGAGGCAGCAGUGGGGAAUCUUGCGCAAUGGGCGAAAGCCUGACGCAGCGACGCCGCGUGAGGG